Molecule: ribosomal RNA, 514 nt
Filed under: uncultured bacterium
Lineage: Bacteria
Description: bacterial SSU rRNA
Rfam family: Bacterial small subunit ribosomal RNA
Source: RNAcentral
GAUGAACGCUAGCGGGAGGCUUAACACAUGCAAGUCGAGGGGCAGCAUAGGGUAGCAAUACUCUGAUGGCGACCGGCAAACGGGUGAGUAACGCGUAUGCAACCUACCCUGUACAGGGGGAUAACCCGGAGAAAUUCGGACUAAUAUCCCGUAAUAAUAUCCGGAGGCAUCUUUGGAUAUUUAAAGUUUCGACGGUACGGGAUGGGCAUGCGUAACAUUAGCUGGUUGGUAAGGUAACGGCUUACCAAGGCUAUGAUGUUUAGGGGUCCUGAGAGGGUGGUCCCCCACACUGGUACUGAGACACGGACCAGACUCCUACGGGAGGCAGCAGUGAGGAAUAUUGGUCAAUGGGCGCAAGCCUGAACCAGCCAUCCCGCGUGCAGGAAGACGGCCCUAUGGGUUGUAAACUGCUUUUCCAGGGAGAGAAACUUACGCACGUGUUGCGUGACUGACGGUACCCUGGGAAUAAGCAUCGGCUAACUCCGUGCCAGCAGCCGCGGUAAACAUGAGAGUA